RNAcentral lists this ribosomal RNA (406 nucleotides) under uncultured bacterium. Its description in RNAcentral is "partial 16S ribosomal RNA". It matches the Rfam family "Bacterial small subunit ribosomal RNA", at positions 28 to 526 of the family's 1533-position model. The record is from RNAcentral.
GAUGAACGCUAGCUACAGGCUUAACACAUGCAAGUCGAGGGACCGGCGCACGGGUGAGUAACACGUAUCCAACCUGCCCUUUACUCGGGGAUAGCCUUUCGAAAGAACGAUUAAUACCCGAUAUAAAGGAUGGGGAUGCGUUCCAUUAGGUUGUUGGUGAGGUAACGGCACACCAAGCCUUCGAUGGAUAGGGGUUCUGAGAGGAAGGUCCCCCACGUUGGAGCUGAGCCACGGUCCCAACUCGUAGGGGACGCAGCAGUGAGUAAGAUUGGUCAAUGGGCGCUAGCCUGACCCAGCCAAGUAGCGUGAAGAAUGAAUGGUUAUUGGUCGUAAACUUCUUUUAUAUAAGAAUAUGUAUUAUAUGAAUAAGGAUCGGCUAACUCCGUGCCAGCAGCCGCGGUAAUAC